This 164-nucleotide ribosomal RNA is filed under the name uncultured bacterium. Its description in RNAcentral is "partial 16S rRNA". It matches the Rfam family "Bacterial small subunit ribosomal RNA", at positions 355 to 511 of the family's 1533-position model. The record is from RNAcentral.
UAGGGAAUCUUCGGCAAUGGGGGCAACCCUGACCGAGCAACGCCGCGUGAGUGAAGAAGGUUUUCGGAUCGUAAAGCUCUGUUGUUAAAGAAGAACACGUAUGAGAGUAACUGUUCAUACGUUGACGGUAUUUAACCAGAAAGUCACGGCUAACUACGUGACAG